UACGUAGGGGGCAAGCGUUGUCCGGAAUCAUUGGGCGUAAAGCGCGUGUAGGCGGCUGAGUAAGUCUGCUCUGAAAGCCCGGGGCCGUCAACCCCGGGACGGCGGGUGGAUACUGCUCAGCUCGAGUCCGGAAGAGGAGUGUGGAAUUCCUGGUGUAGCGGUGGAAUGCGCAGAUAUCAGGAGGAACACCGGUGGCGAAGGCGGGUCUCUGGGCAGUAACUGACGCUGAGGAGCGAAAGCGUGGGGAGCGAACAGG
This 256-nucleotide ribosomal RNA is filed under the name uncultured bacterium. RNAcentral describes it as "partial 16S ribosomal RNA". It matches the Rfam family "Bacterial small subunit ribosomal RNA", at positions 524 to 776 of the family's 1533-position model. The record is from RNAcentral.